GGUCCCGUAGUUCAACGGAUAGAACAAGAGUUUCCUAAACUUUAGAUACAGGUUCGAUUCCUGUCGGGAUCA
Molecule: transfer RNA, 72 nt
Filed under: Akkermansiaceae bacterium
Lineage: Bacteria; Pseudomonadati; Verrucomicrobiota; Verrucomicrobiia; Verrucomicrobiales; Akkermansiaceae
Also listed under: 1 other name
Description: tRNA-Arg
Rfam family: tRNA
About the family: Transfer RNA (tRNA) molecules are approximately 80 nucleotides in length. Their secondary structure includes four short double-helical elements and three loops (D, anti-codon, and T loops).
Source: RNAcentral